RNAcentral lists this ribosomal RNA (900 nucleotides) under Enterobacter mori. Its description in RNAcentral is "bacterial SSU rRNA". It matches the Rfam family "Bacterial small subunit ribosomal RNA", at positions 42 to 873 of the family's 1533-position model. Lineage: Bacteria; Pseudomonadati; Pseudomonadota; Gammaproteobacteria; Enterobacterales; Enterobacteriaceae. The record is from RNAcentral.
GAGGGCUGCUACCUGCAGUCGAGCGGCAGCGGAGGUACCUUGCUACUUUGCCGGCGAGCGGCGGAGGGGUGAGUAGUGUGGGGGAAAGUGCCUGGUGGGGGGGGAUCUCUAGUGGAAACGGUCUCUAAUACCGCAUAGCGUCGCAAGACCAAAGAGGGGGACCUUCGGGCCUCUUGCCCUCAUGUGUGCCCAUAUGGGAUUAUCUAAUGUGUGGGGUAGCGGCUCCCCUACGCCACUAUCCCUAUCUGGUCUGAGAAGAUGACCACCCACUCUGGAACUGACACACGGCCCACACUCCUACGGGAGGCAACAGUGGGGAAUAUUGCACAGUGGGCGCACCCCUGAUGCCCCCGUGCCGCGUGUAUGAAAAACGCCUUCGGUUUGUAAAGUACUUUCCGCGGAGAAGAAGGAUAUAGGGUUAAUAACCUUGUCUAUUGACUUUACCCGCAAAAAAAGCCCCGGCUAUCUCCGUGCCCACACCCGCGGUAAUACAGAGGGUGCAAGCGUUAAUCAGAAUUACUGGGCGUAAAGCGCACGCGCGCGCUCUGUCAACUCAGAUGUGAUCUCCCCGGUCUCCACCUGAGAACUGCAUUCAAAUCUGACGCGCUAGACUCGUGUAGAGGGGGGUAAAACUCCGUGUGUAGCGGUGAUAUGCAUAGAGAUCUGGGGAGAAUACCGGUGGCGAACGCCCCCCCCGUGGACAGACACUGACUCUCGUGUGCGAGAGCGUGGGAGAGCACACGAGAUUAUACACUCUGGGUACUCCACGCCAUACAACUGAUGUCGACGUAGGAUGGUUGUGCCCUUUGGACGCGGUGUCUUCCCGAGCAUCAUAACGCUGUAUAAAUCUCGAGCCCGCCUCGUGGGGAGAAGCUAGCGCGCCCCGACAGAGGGGUUUUU